This 360-nucleotide ribosomal RNA is filed under the name uncultured eukaryote. RNAcentral's name for it is "partial 18S ribosomal RNA". It matches the Rfam family "Eukaryotic small subunit ribosomal RNA", at positions 592 to 976 of the family's 1831-position model. The record is from RNAcentral.
CAAUAGCAUAUAUUAACGUUGUUGCAGUUGAAAAGCUCGUAGUUGAACUUUUGGUAGGAGCGACCUAGCCUUGGGCGCAUGCCCUUGUUUGCCGUGUGUCGUGUCUGGCCAUCCCUUUCCGCUUCGGCGGGAAUCUUUUACUGUGAGUAAACUGGAGUGCUCAAAACAAGACGUUUGUUUGGUACAUUAAAGCAUGGAAUAAUAAGAUAGGACCUGGUUACUAUUUUGUUGGUUUGCAUAGCUAGGUAAUGAUUAACAGGGACAGUUGGGGGUAUUCGUAUUUAAUUGUCAGAGGUGAAAUUCUUGGAUUUAUGAAAGACGAACGACUGCGAAAGCAUUUACCAAGGAUGUUUUCAUUAA